UAUGGUGAGGUACUAAUUCAACUUUUCUGGUUUUAAUUACCAGUUGUUCUGUGUUCGACUGAGCUGCGUAUAUUUCGUGUUAGCCUUUCGCUGAUUUUAGAACUGACCGCGUUUUGAUGAUUGGUGGUUACAGGGUUGCAUGGAGUACGAAGGCUUGUAUGCUGCAAGAGAUUUAGACACCCAGUUGCUGAUCUUCAGCCCCUUGAUGUUGGUUUACCAAUCUGCAUUCCACACUCUUCAAAGGUUCCGAGGAAGGUGAGUUUUGUAAGUACCAGUCUCUGCAAGAACGCUAAUCUCGGUUCAUUUUCCAUAAAUUUGCAAUAGUUUGUUAUUUGCCGGGACCAACUUUAACUAGGUUGAAAUAAUGAUAUUUUUUGUUCAUUUUAUCUGUUUGUAACACUCUACGUUUUAUUAAUGCAUGAUAGGUGCCUCUAUCAGCCAUUUUUGAACCAGAUAUGCAGCAGCAAGGGAGUAGCCCUAUCACUCUCGAUCAAAACCUCAAAGGGCGAAGGGAGAACGCAACAACAUUCUUCUAUGAUAGUUAAUGUUGUCCCACCUAUACGUUUUAUUAAGGCAUGAUAGGUGCCUCUAUCAGCCAUUUUCUACCAUGUACGGCUGAUACAUGUUAACUGCCAGUUUGUACAGGUACACAGUUGUGUGAUACCCAUGAAUUUUAGUCAGAGUAAUUAUAUGUUCUGUUAUCAUGGUCACUAGAUUUUGUUGAGUACCUUAGUGCUCAACUUAGGAACAACUAAUUGCCAUCUUAGGUCACUGCAUUCCCAAAAUAACUAUGGAAAGUUUACUUUCACAAUACAGUCACAUAUCCAUGUCCCAUUUUUCUUUGUGGUUUCUAUCUAUAUAUUCAGAUUGGACGCAUUUAUAUUGAGUACUUAGAAAUUUACAUAUGUUUCCAGUUGCAUUUUAGUUUAGACAUGCUCUGAUAAUAUGCAAAGUAUGUGGCACAAAAUGAUGGUGCUGGUGUUAUCAAUGGGGUCCAAGGAAAUUUGCACAAAAAUUUAAACAAAAUGAUUAUGCCAUCAAUACUUUCUGAAGCCUUCAACUUUCUCCCUUUUGUCCCUAAACAUGUCCUGUGUUUACGCAAGGUGCAGCAGCAGCAGGUCAUCCACUUCUACCCAAGUUGCCAUGGAAAAUCUAAUGGGUUUACGACUAUCUCAGUUCAUAAUGGUGUGAGCUUUGUAGGAGUGGGAUAUCAUAUACAGUAUGAUAGAUAUGGAAGACAACAAGCAAAAAUUCAAUUAUGAGGUGAUGGUUGAGCUGAUCAGUACAACGUUGUCCCGAAUUUUCUUUUGAUUCUGUUUCUUCUUGGUUUGCAGAUGAUCGGCUGUUUCAAUCUUUUUCUUCUGCUUACAGUCCACCAACAGGAUUGUUGAUGCCCGCAGGAGGGGGACAUCGCAGUAGAUGGGCUGAAGUAGGAGGCUGAGAGAAAUGGGAAACAACGGAUUCUAGCACAUAGUAGAUGCCUAAGAUGUCACUGAAGCGCUAUUGAGGUACAUUCUGAUAACUACAGUUCUAUUGGACAACACUAGCCCCUAUAGUAACAUAUAUGGUCUGAGAUUUUUCUAGGAUCAUUCCUCCCAGGUGAUUACAAACCUGGUCAUAAUGUAGCAUAAGCUAAAUCAAAUCCAGAUUUUCUUCCUUGGCCCAUUACAAUAAAGGAUCCUUUAUACUGAGCUUUUUGUGUUACAACAGAAUUAUGGAUGACUGCUCUAUUUAGUCCUUGACAGUUCCAUCUAUAUAUGCCAUGGGCUUAGCUAUUAGCGUUGUUGAGUGCGACCUUGUGGACCUCUGCAUUUUUUAUUUCUGUUUGCAAUGUUGUGAUUCUCCUGCUCAUUGCUUUUCAUUUUUCUUUGUGUAGGUCACAUACACUCCAACAUCUAAAAUAAAUCCAGCAGGCAGUUUAGAGUUUUUCGGGUUGAUGAUUAUGAAUGCAGAUAGACCUAUCUAAUCCAGCUUUUGCUUGAUUUUUGUCACUGAACUUCAUAUUAGAUGUGAUAUAACUACUCAGAUUGUAUCAGCCUUCCUAUUCUUUCCCCUUUCCUAUUACUACAAGUGUAUAUGGUAAUUAUUUAUCAAAUAAUACACGGCUUUUGUUCAUCUCAUGCGCAGGUGGCGCAACGGGUGCUUUAUAAAACCAAUGUAUGCUACAAAGUAUCUAUUCAGUAUCAGUCACAUAUACAUGGUUUGAAUACUCGGCCCGCUCUCGCUUAUUUUACCAAGGAUCUUCAACAAGUAUAUCUGCAAAAGGUCAAAUUCCAUUCAAUUCAGACCCAAACAAUACUCCGCUAGGUUGAUCGCACACUACAGCAAAUUCCUUUCAAAAUAAUCUAUUCACCGUGAAGCACGCU
This 2366-nucleotide long non-coding RNA is filed under the name Triticum aestivum (bread wheat). RNAcentral's name for it is "long non-coding RNA (TAES_LNC001177)". Lineage: Eukaryota; Viridiplantae; Streptophyta; Magnoliopsida; Poales; Poaceae. The record is from RNAcentral.